GAUGAACGCUGGCGGCGUGCCUAAUACAUGCAAGUCGAACGAAACUUCUUUAUCACCGAGUGCUUGCACUCACCGAUAAAGAGUUGAGUGGCGAACGGGUGAGUAACACGUGGGCAACCUGCCCAAAAGAGGGGGAUAACACUUGGAAACAGGUGCUAAUACCGCAUAACCAUAGUUACCGCAUGGUAACUAUGUAAAAGGUGGCUAUACUACCGCUUUUGGAUGGGCCCGCGGCGCAUUAGCUAGUUGGUAGGGUAAAGGCUUACCAAGGCAAUGAUGCGUAGCCGAAUUGAGAGGUUGAUCGGCCACAUUGGGACUGAGACACGGCCCAAACUCCUACGGGAGGCAGCAGUAGGGAAUCUUCCACAAAGGGCGAAAGCCUGAUGGAGCAACGCCGCGUGGGUGAAGAAGGUCUUCGGAUCGUAAAACCCUGUUGUUAGAGAAGAAAGUGCGCGAGAGUAACUGUUCACGUUUCGACGGUAUCUAACCAGAAAGCCACGGCUAACUACGUG
RNAcentral lists this ribosomal RNA (512 nucleotides) under uncultured bacterium. RNAcentral describes it as "partial 16S ribosomal RNA". It matches the Rfam family "Bacterial small subunit ribosomal RNA", at positions 28 to 507 of the family's 1533-position model. The record is from RNAcentral.